This 472-nucleotide ribosomal RNA is filed under the name uncultured bacterium. RNAcentral's name for it is "partial 16S ribosomal RNA". It matches the Rfam family "Bacterial small subunit ribosomal RNA", at positions 29 to 523 of the family's 1533-position model. The record is from RNAcentral.
AAUGAACGCUGGCGGCAUGGAUUAGGCAUGCAAGUCGAACGGGACACCUUCGGGUGUCUAGUGGCGGAAGGGUGAGUAACACGUGAGCAACCUGCCCCCGAGUCUGGAAUAAGCGAUGGAAACGUCGUCUAAUACCGGAUGAGGACUGGGGUCUCCUGACUCCAACUCCAAAGAUUUAUCGCUUGGGGAUGGGCUCGCGUCCCAUUAGCUAGUUGGCGGGGUAAUGGCCCACCAAGGCUGUGACGGGUAGGUGGACUGAGAGGUUGGUCACCCACACUGGGACUGAGACACUGCCCAGACUCCUACGGGAGGCUGCAGUCGAGAAUCGUCCGCAAUGGGCGCAAGCCUGACGGAGCGAUGCCGCGUGAGGGAAGAAGGCCUUCGGGUUGUAAACCUCUGUCACCCGGGACGAAAACAAUGACGGUACCGGGAGAGGAAGUCACGGCUAACUACGUGCCAGCCGCCGCAGUAA